AGGUAGUAUAAAUUUACAUACAAACCAAUGUAUCUUGGCGGCAUUCUUUAACCUCAAAGGAACUUGUUAUAUAAUCGAUAAUCCCCGUUUCAUCUGACUUAUUUUAAAAGCCUAUAUACCGUCGUUUAAAGAACUUCACAAAACUGAUUCACUCUCCCUAUCAUCACACAAAUCAGAUCAAGGUGUAACAUAUAAAUAAGCAAUAAUGAGUUACAAUAAAAAUAAAUUAAGGAAUAUAACGGAAACGCUUAAUAAAAAAGAAUUUGAACUCACCUGUUAAACAAAAUUUUACAACGAAUUAUAAAAAAUGUGC
RNAcentral lists this ribosomal RNA (313 nucleotides) under Scaphiella sp. MA179. RNAcentral describes it as "partial 12S ribosomal RNA". Lineage: Eukaryota; Metazoa; Arthropoda; Arachnida; Araneae; Oonopidae. The record is from RNAcentral.